RNAcentral lists this ribosomal RNA (497 nucleotides) under uncultured bacterium. RNAcentral describes it as "partial 16S ribosomal RNA". It matches the Rfam family "Bacterial small subunit ribosomal RNA", at positions 28 to 507 of the family's 1533-position model. The record is from RNAcentral.
GAUGAACGCUGGCGGCGUGCCUAAUACAUGCAAGUCGAGCGAACGGACGAGAAGCUUGCUUUUCUGAUGUUAGCGGCGGACGGGUGAGUAACACGUGGAUAACCUACCUAUAAGACUGGGAUAACUUCGGGAAACCGGAGCUAAUACCGGAUAAUAUUUUGAACCGCAUGGUUCAAAAGUGAAAGACGGUCUUGCUGUCACUUAUAGAUGGAUCCGCGCUGCAUUAGCUAGUUGGUAAGUUAACGGCUUACCAAGGCAACGAUGCAUAGCAGACCUGAGAGGGUGAUCGGCCACACUGGAACUGAGACACGGUCCAGACUCCUACGGGAGGCAGCAGUAGGGAAUCUUCCGCAAUGGGCGAAAGCCUGACGGAGCAACGCCGCGUGAGUGAUGAAGGUCUUCGGAUCGUAAAACUCUGUUAUUAGGGAAGAACAUAUGUGUAAGUAACUGUGCACAUCUUGACGGUACCUAAUCAGAAAGCCACGGCUAACUACGUG